RNAcentral lists this ribosomal RNA (925 nucleotides) under uncultured eukaryote. RNAcentral describes it as "SSU rRNA". It matches the Rfam family "Eukaryotic small subunit ribosomal RNA", at positions 531 to 1469 of the family's 1831-position model. The record is from RNAcentral.
CACCUAUAGGCCGAUGAUUAGCGGCCGCGAUUCGCCUUGUGCCAGCAGCCGCGGUAAUUCCCAGCUCCAAUAGCGUAUACUAAAGUUGUUGCGGUUAAAAAGCUCGUAGUUGGAUCUUGGAAUGUGUUCAAGCGGGUCAGCUUCUGGCUGUGCGCUGCUUGACGUGUUCUUCUAUUUGGUUUUGGUGCGGUGCGCUUAACUGCGUGUCGCUCCCGGCCGAAACGUUUACCUUGAAAAAAUUAGAGUGUUCAAAGCAGACCUGUUUGAGUCUGAAUAUUCGUGCAUGGAAUAAUGAAAUAUGAAUUCGGUUCUAUUUUGUUGGUUUUCGGAACUCGAGUUAAUGAUCAAGAGGGACAGACGGGGGCAUUCGUACUCUGCCGUUAGAGGUGAAAUUCUUGGAUCGGCGGAAGACGCGCAACUGCGAAAGCAUUUGCCAAGAAUGUUUUCUUUAAUCAAGAACGAUAGUCGGAGGUUCGAAGACGAUCAGAUACCGUCCUAGUUUCGACUGUAAACUAUGCCAGCUAACGAUCAGACAGAGUUCUCUACGACUUGUCUGGCAGUUUCCGGGAAACCAAAGCGUUUGGGUUCCGGGGGAAGUAUGGUUGCAAAGCUGAAACUUAAAGGAAUUGACGGAAGGGCACCACCAGGAGUGGAGCCUGCGGCUUAAUUUGACUCAACACGGGGAAACUCACCCGGCCCGGACACAGUGAGGAUUGACAGAUUGAGAGUUCUUUCUUGAUUCUGUGGGUGGUGGUGCAUGGCCGUUCUUAGUUGGUGGAGCGAUUUGUCUGGUUAAUUCCGAUAACGAACGAGACUCUGGCAUGUUAAAUAGUCGCGGAAGUGCGUAUGCACUUGCCGAAUUGACUUCUUAGAGGGACUAGUGAUUUUAAUUCACACGAGAUUGAGCAAUAACAGGUCUGUGAUG